Manis javanica (Malayan pangolin) is the source of this 3235-nucleotide non-coding RNA. The record is from RefSeq and is a predicted model, not a curated record. NCBI's taxonomy places the organism in Eukaryota, Metazoa, Chordata, Mammalia, Pholidota, Manidae.
UCCCAGCUGAGGACCUUGAGGGCGAAGUCCACCCCGAUGGUGGCGCGGUAGUGCUGGGAGAAGAGCUGGUGGACGUAGCGCUUGAUGAUGCUGGUCUUGCCCACGCCGAGCUCGCCGAUGACCAGCACCUUGAAGAGAACAUUAUUUGAGAGGAUGUCACUAUUUCAAAUCUUGAAUCCCCGUAAUUCAUGGUGAUGUCAUCAUGGUUUGAUGAAGACUCAUAUAUAGAGAUAUGGCUUGGAAGUAGCAACAAAGGAAGGCCUCCUCUGCUCUUUGGGUGAAAGGACCUGGAGUUGGAGGUCUAGAGAAGAGGCCAUUUCUCCAGCGAAGGAGGCAGCUAAUCAAGAGAUGUACACAUGCUAAAGCAGGAAUGAGCGAAAGACUGGCCAGAAACAUCCUCAUCAAAUGAGCUCAGCUGGAUUAUUCGGUUCUGACGUACAUACUGAUGAAGAGGAGGAGACAGGAAGAAGAGCAAGGAGAAGAAAGGUCUGAUGCUGCUGCUUGCUUUAGGUAUUGUCCAGGAGGAGCACAUUGAGAAGCAGGGGUAUUGCAGGAGAAACCAAUCCCAAAUGCACCUGCAGACAGUUUGCUUCAGUAAGAAUUUAAGUCAUUAAAAAAUGGGAUUAUGAGACUCAAAGGAUCAUUGCUUCAAUGUUUACUUUGUAUUAUCCAUGACAUGUAUUGUCAGCUGACCUUGAAUUUUAUCUAACUCUCUCUUAGGUCAUCAGGUUUUUCCUCACUGCUGGACUAGUCUCUGGACUCCUCCACCUACCGUCUUAUUUCUUUUUUCCCCCUCAUUUACAGAAAAAAAGUAUUUAUGAAAGCUAUCUAGAUGGGGAUCUCCCAGGGGCACCUCUCCUGCUCUAGGCUGUGAGGACUCCCAUCCCUGCCCCUGGGUCAGCUGCUUCUCCCCUCACCACACCGGCCAGCGAAUAAGGACACAUUCUCUUCUCUUUCUGCCGGGACAGCACUCCCUCUUUCUCCUCCCUGUUUUCUUGCUCUUUCUCAGACUUCUUUUUUGUGAUUCUCCAUCAUCCAUGAGAUCAAGAUAGGGUGAUGUUCCUCAGGAACCCAGUUCUCUUCUUUAUGUACAUUGUUCCCCCAGGUGAAAUCACCCAGUCUCACAUUUUUGUACGUAUCGUCUGCAUUUUGUUGACUCAAAUGUUCACCUCUUGCCAGUGCUGUGCCUCCAGAUGUUGCAUCCACCCACCUGCUGACCAUGGCUGGAACCAGGCUCCCACUUCCCAUCCCACCAAAGUGGUCAGCAUCUCAGCAAGUGUCAUCUCCACUUCUCUGUUGUUCAGACCUCAAAAUCUUGGAGCCAUUGCUUCACUCAGUUCUUUCUCUCACUCCCCACAUCGAAUCCUCUAGCCAUUACCUUCACUUAAUGUUUUAAAAAUAUUUGCACAGUACCUGUAACAUGUCUGGUGCUGUUCUGGAAGCUGCAGACACAGAAGAUAAUGAAGCAGACAAAAGGCCUGUCCUCAGAUUCUGGCGACUUUAAAAUAGAUCCACAAUGAUGCCGCCCUUCACCUCCUGCACAUCCCGAGCACUACCACUCUAGAUGGUCUCCCCCAUCUCCCUGGAUUAUUGUAGCAGCCUUGGGCUUCCACUCUUGUCCCCCAGAGUCUUCCCUGUCCUGGCCGGAGUGAUCAUUCUAAAACAUAGAUCAUGGCUUUGCUCUUCCCAUAACCCUCCAAUGGCUCCUCACUUUCUCAGAGCAACAUCCAAAGUCUUUAACUAAACCCGCAAGGCUAUCUAUGACCUGGCCCCAGCCAUUGCUCCUCUGCCCCCACUGAUGCCCUCCUUUCCUCUGACUUCAGCCUCCUUGCUCUUCCCCCUGACUCUUUAAAUGGCCCACAAUGCACGGCCGUAUUUCUUGCUGCUUGGCAUAUCCCCACACUUUAGAACUCCCCUAAACCAUCACCUUACUCAGAGGCCUUCCCUGAUCCUUAAUAUGAAAUAGCAUUUGCACCUACAUCACUCUCUACCCCCUCCCCUGUUUGCUACAUGCACGUCUACAUGUACCCCUUGGCAGUCUCUUCUAUCUAGCAUGUGUGUCUUUGAAAGCUGGGACUUUGUUUUGCCCACUGCUGUAUCUCCUUUUGCCUAGAGCAGUGCCUGAUAAUAUUAUGUGCUCAAAAUUUUAUUGAAUUUUCUUCAAUACUGGAAUUCUAUAAUUUGCUAAUUUAUAAGUAUGUUGACCUAAAGUCCCUUUUUACCAAAGACCUGCAUUUAAUAAUAGCAAUGAUGUGUUACUUUUUUUCCUUUUGAACAAUGACCAAGUUCUGCUUUGUAUUACUAUUAUUACUAGAUUUUCAACUCUUACAUAUCUAUAUGGCUUUAUUGUAAGGUGUUUGACUCUGUCCCUAGAGGGAAGUACGUUAAGGACAAGGACUGUCAUUCCCCUUUGUAAACCCCUAAUCCUAGAAGGUGCUUCAUCCUUGGAAGUGCGGUGGGUGAGACCUUCCUUGAGUUCUUUUGGAUCUUGAAGAAACAAAAAUUGCAGGACAUUAAAAAGAAAACCAAAGGCAUGUAUACCUUCCAUUAUUCUCCAUUAAGCACAAGGUUAAACACUCCACAGCCAGUCUUUGCAAUGUUCCCAGCCCCCUGCCGCUGGUGACAUUCUUGAGUGCCCCUCCUCACCUCAGGAUGGGUGGGGCUGCCAUAGAAAAGCAUAGCUGUUCUGUCCUCCAGUGUAGCCAAACCCCACAGGGAAACCCACUAGCAGUUCCAGCAGGGAGGGGGUGCUUUCUCCACUUCUCUUUACAUUCCGCUGGAUAGAAUCUGGGCAUCCAUGGUAGCAUACAAUUAUAAUUUCCUACUGCCUUAUUUGAGCUGCAAAGGGAUAAGCUUUCCUUUCAUAUAUAUAGAAAUAUAAAACCAGCAGGCAUGAUUUCUCAACAAAAGAUAUUCACACAGCUUUGCAGAUAUUUUGCAGCCAUCCCUUUUCCUUGUCUCUGCCGACUGCAGUUCAGCUCCCUGCGGGGACACGUUGUCAAUGCCUGGUAACCUCCUGCUCUCCUCUGGGAAGGGAAACCAGUCCGAGGCCCACCAGGGGCUCAGGUCCCAGGUAGGCUGUUUCCCACAGCAUUCCCUAUUACGGCACUUGGUUAAUACUGCUAGAAUUAAAUUAAUCUUGUCACGUCCUGCUCUCUACUUCUCAUCUUACCGCAGAACUGAGCUUACAUGGCACACAGCUCAGGUGCUUAAAGAUGUUUAUUAAAUAAAUUGG